GACGAACGCUGGCGGCGUGCUUAACACAUGCAAGUCGAACGGAAAGGCCCUGCUUUUGUGGGGUGCUCGAGUGGCGAACGGGUGAGUAACACGUGAGUAACCUGCCCUUGACUUUGGGAUAACUUCAGGAAACUGGGGCUAAUACCGGAUAGGAGCUCCUGCUGCAUGGUGGGGGUUGGAAAGUUUCGGCGGUUGGGGAUGGACUCGCGGUUUAUCAGCUUGUUGGUGGGGUAGGGGCUUACCAAGGCUUUGACGGGUAGCCGGCCUGAGAGGGUGACCGGCCACAGUGGGACUGAGAUACGGGCCAGACUCAUACGGGAGGCAGCAGUGGGGAAUAUUGCACAAUGGGCGGAAGCCUGAUGCAGCAACGCCGCGUGCGGGAUGACGGCCUUCGGGUUGUAAACCGCUUUCGCCUGUGACGAAGCGUGAGUGACGGUAAUGGGUAAAGAAGCACCGGCUAACUACGUG
RNAcentral lists this ribosomal RNA (468 nucleotides) under uncultured bacterium. Its description in RNAcentral is "partial 16S ribosomal RNA". It matches the Rfam family "Bacterial small subunit ribosomal RNA", at positions 28 to 507 of the family's 1533-position model. The record is from RNAcentral.